Lagopus leucura (white-tailed ptarmigan) is the source of this 2083-nucleotide long non-coding RNA. RefSeq lists it as uncharacterized. The transcript has 5 exons. The record is from RefSeq and is a predicted model, not a curated record. Lineage: Eukaryota; Metazoa; Chordata; Aves; Galliformes; Phasianidae.
AAAGGACCUUCCCCUCUUCUCUUCCCCCUCACCCCCACAAAAAAAAAGAGAAAAAAAAGGAAGUGUGCUUUGUCACCAAUUGCACAAUGAAUCACAUUUCAGAAUUAGCAUCAGCUUCCUGUUUAUCUUGGAGGGCAAACUUACAGCACUGCACUGUUCUUGGUGAUGCCUACUUAGUCUGUGUUCACUGAUAGCCCAUUGUUGUGGCACACACAUGAAAGAAAAAAAAGGAAGGAUUUCAGGGAGAAGAACUGAACAUUGGGGUGAUAAUUUUAGUUUCUCACCUAAUAGAGAAAGUUGCUUCAGGUAAAAACUUCAAUUCCAUUGUAUAUUGUUAUGGUCAGAUUUUAUGAAAAUACGCAAGCUAAAUUAAGUAAUCAGUUAUGAAGUCUCACAGCCUGCCUGUCUGCAGUCUGACACACUGCAGCACAAGGACAGAAAGGGGCCUGUGCAGGUAAACGCAUGGCACCGCCAGAAAGAAGGACCUGGUCAUUCUGUGUUACUGUCAGUUGUUCUUACUGUCAAGUGAUAAUAAUUUCUUGAGGAAAUCAACUGAAAAUCUAUAAUUUUGCCAAAAACAGGAGAAUUCCUAUGCCCAGGCUUGACGCUUGUUGCUGAUUUUCCUUAUCUUGUCACCUCUCCAUAGGUAAAAUCAUGAUGAAGAAUAACUUUUAUGAUGCAGUGACUUGUCUCUCACAGCUGUUACACCGUGGACCUGAUCAAAGCAAAACUUCAGAUAGAGCCCCACCACGAGAGCAUGCUACUGGGCAGCACGGAGCUCCACAGCACACCCACUGAGCAGCCAAAGGCAGAAGGCAGCCAGCUGGAACACACGGCAGACACUCAGCCCAUCAGCACAGAGCAGAGGUCAGGCAGAAAACUCUAUGCAACAGCGUGUUCAUGCUUGGAAGGGAGAGAAGACAACAGAAGAAAGGGGUGAAGAGAGAAGAUCAAAGGUUUCUUGCUGAGAAAUACGGCUAUUACCCAAUUAAUGUCUGAGAUGUUAAGGAGGCAUGCAGUUGCAGCCAUGAAAUGAUUAAGUAGAGGCAUUUACCAGCCAUGUGUAUUUAAAGUAGGAAGCUUUCUGAGUAACAUCGAGGAGGAGCUUUAAAGUCAACAAGCAUUCCACUUCCUUAACAGCAAACUGCUGUUUGAAACUACUAUGAAAAAGUACGGGCUCUAUGCAGAUGUUCCCUGCACAGAAACAGAAUGAAGGCAGAGAGCUACAAGCAGCAUUUUUUCCCCAGGAGAUAUGAAAGCCCCAUAGCUACACCACAGUUCUCACAAGGUUUUUUUUCCACUUAAGUGUGGGGGCAGAGAUGAGGCAAACAGCAGAGCAGGCUGUGUGCACUGCACAGAAUGAGUGAAGCUCCUCAGAAAUGUUUCCUCCCUGGCCUAUGCGUCCACAUAGCCUAACUUGAAUCCUCUGGAUAGAGCCUUCCCGCAAUAGUAAGAUGACUGGUUUUUUGACCCCUAAAAACACACAGGUGAAGACACUGCUAUCUCAGGAUUUCUCAUUUUUCUUUAAGCAGAUCUAUGGCAUCGGCUAUUCACUUUACAUUGGAGGAAUUAAAAGACAAUUGCAUCUGUAGAAACAGCUCGUGGUACAAAACCUGGAGGAAGAGCAUGGCGAUACAUGCAAUUGUCUCCGCCGCCUGGACAGACCCAAAACCAUCCGUAUUUGUUGUUUUCAAUAGCAUCAAGAAAAUAUUUGCAGACCUGCAUAAAACAACAGUUGUCAGUACUGUAUUCUCAUCCCCAGCAAUUUACACUAGCACAGCUACUACAUGCCCAAAGUACAGUAAUUCAAAGCCAGCUGUGGUCAAAAGUGAAUAAACGUGCCAUGCACUCCAUUACAAACAGUAGAUAUAAAAAGAGCAACUAACUAUCUAAAACCUCAAAUACUCAACAGCUUUCGCCCUUAAUAUAAUCUCAACUUAGGCUGACUUGAAAGACUAGUGACUGCACUACAGUAAACCCAGCAGCACAUGUAAAAGAAUGUUAAGGGUUUAUGUUUGGUCAUGAAAAUCGAGUGUACUUUUAAUCAAAAUAAACAAUUUCAGAUGUUUCAUGUUCCAACUCA